Paramuricea clavata is the source of this 773-nucleotide non-coding RNA. The record is from the annotation of a GenBank genome assembly. NCBI's taxonomy places the organism in Eukaryota, Metazoa, Cnidaria, Anthozoa, Malacalcyonacea, Plexauridae.
GGGCAGCCGUGGCGGUGCUGUAACGCAGACCAACGAGCUAUGGUGGAAUGGACCAAAGUGGCUUUCCAAACCCGAGGAAUGGCCUGAAAACGUCAGUACGAAAGCUACCAAAGAAUCACUUGGAGAGGCUAAGAAAGUUCGUGAAUUGUUCAAAUUGGCGACCGAUCAUGAACCAGAUGAGUUCAGUCAACUUAUUGAAAGGCGAAAUUACUGGACGGUGAUUAGAACGUGUGCAUGGAUCGCGAGGUUUGUGCACAACGCGAGAAACAAAAUUAAAAAGGUCGGUCCACUAACUACAGAAGAGAUUGAAGCACAAAAGAAAUUUUGGGAAGAAAGGGCUCAACGACAAGGCGAAGCGAGUGAGAAGUACGAUGCUGACCGAAUGCAACUCAACCUACAGCGUAACCAAUCGGGAUUGUUAGAAUGUCGAGGUAGAGUUCAAGGACUUUAUCCCAUUUACCUUCCAGAUACUGAGAUCUACACAGAGAAAUUCGUACAGCAAGCUCAUGAAGAUACACUCCACGGUGGAGUGGGACUCACGAUGGCAAAAGUUCGCGAAAACCAUUGGGUACCUCGCCUGCGACAGCUAGCGAAACGGCUUAUCAAGAAAUGCCCCAGUUGCAAGAGGUUCCAGAUCACAGCUCUGGCCAGUCCACCACCUGGUUUUCUCCCAAAGGAUCGAACAGAAGGGAACACUGCUUUUCAAGUAGUUGGAGUCGAUUACGCAGGGCCCCUUAAGAUCCGAGUUAAGCAGACGCGAGAAGGAAAAGCAU